Molecule: long non-coding RNA, 883 nt
Organism: Eptatretus burgeri (inshore hagfish)
Lineage: Eukaryota; Metazoa; Chordata; Myxini; Myxiniformes; Myxinidae
Source: Ensembl
CUCGGGGCAUGCAAAAGACUGCUGCUCGCACGACCCAGAGUAGUGCCAUUUUCCAGUGUAACACCUUAGGAGCAGCAUUGCUUUCUGAGCGUCAUCCUACUUGGGACACCUGAGAGAUGCAAGCCACACCGGACACCACCCUGCCUUGCCCUCACUCUCCCAGCACCAUGUUAGACUCACAGGUGGAGGGAAAUGGAGAACAUCAAAGCAACCUGUACAUGAACAUGAUGGAUCUCACCUUAUGCAAAGAAACAAAUUUGCAAAGCACUACAUGUGAUGUCACCUCUUCACCUACAUCUCCACAUAGGACCAGUGGUCUUGAGGCCUUGACUGCUCCAAUCUCUGACAGCAGCCACAGCUUACCACGAACAGAAGAAGCAGAUCAGAAAUCUGGUUCCAAGGAUGCUUCACCGGCCCACUCUUGUGUCACAUUCCAGCCACCUCCGGGCUGGACCGAGAUUUCUCGUGCGGGUGUGGGCACGGUGUACAUGCAUCCAUCUGGCAAACAACAGUGGAAAAGGAUGGUGGAUGCAACUUCAGGAUGUGUAUAUUACCACCAGGAGAGCACGAAUGAGACACGCUGCGAACUCCCUCCCCUGAGUCCUGUCCAGCUGCCAAAUCACAAUAAGGAGAAGAGGCCAAGUUCCCAUAGAAUUGAACGAAUGGAUAACACAAAGUCCGUGUAUGUGCACUCCACGUCAACCAAGAACAAGGGUCACCGCCGCUCAUUGUCCAACACCAGCUUAGGCACUGUGGAAAAUCCUCCCUUGAACAUAAAGGAUAUCUCAAAGAAGUUGUGUACAGAUUCAGAUGAAAUUUGGUGGAGAGGAUCUUCGUAAGGAGGGAAUGCUGUGUUGUGCAAAGGUGGCCAAGGGGGGGGGGG